This 436-nucleotide ribosomal RNA is filed under the name uncultured Rhodoplanes sp. RNAcentral describes it as "bacterial SSU rRNA". It matches the Rfam family "Bacterial small subunit ribosomal RNA", at positions 8 to 489 of the family's 1533-position model. Lineage: Bacteria; Pseudomonadati; Pseudomonadota; Alphaproteobacteria; Hyphomicrobiales; Nitrobacteraceae. The record is from RNAcentral.
AGAGUUUGAUCCUGGCUCAGAGCGAACGCUGGCGGCAGGCCUAACACAUGCAAGUCGAGCGCCCGUAGCAAUACGGGAGCGGCAGACGGGUGAGUAACACGUGGGAACGUGCCCUUUGGUUCGGAAUAACUCAGGGAAACUUGAGCUAAUACCGGAUAAGUCCGUAAGGAGAAAGAUUUAUCGCCGAAGGAGCGGCCCGCGUCCGAUUAGCUAGUUGGUGGGGUAAUGGCCCACCAAGGCUACGAUCGGUAGCUGGUCUGAGAGGAUGACCAGCCACACUGGGACUGAGACACGGCCCAGACUCCUACGGGAGGCAGCAGUGGGGAAUAUUGGACAAUGGGCGCAAGCCUGAUCCAGCCAUGCCGCGUGGGUGAUGAAGGCCCUAGGGUUGUAAAGCCCUUUCGGCGGGGAAGAUAAUGACGUACCCGCAGAAGAG